AACGCACAUUGCGCCCUUCGGUUAUUCCUUAGGGCAUGCCUGUUCGAGCGUCAUUUCAACCUUCAAGCCCCGCUUGGUGUUGGGCGCUGUCCCGCCUCUGCGCGAGGACUCGCCCCAAAUGAAUUGGCAGUCGCACCCCCGAUACGCGAGCGCAGCAAAGUCGCGCGAGCCGAACCGGCAGGGACGGACGCUCCACGAGACCCACCACAGUCUUGACCUCGGAUCAGGUAGGGAUACCCGCUGAACUUAA
RNAcentral lists this unclassified non-coding RNA (250 nucleotides) under uncultured fungus. RNAcentral describes it as "partial contains 5.8S ribosomal RNA, internal transcribed spacer 2, and large subunit ribosomal RNA". RNAcentral also lists the same sequence under 1 other name. The record is from RNAcentral. Lineage: Eukaryota; Fungi.